GCCUACGGGAGGCAGCAGUGGGGAAUAUUGGACAAUGGGCGCAAGCCUGAUCCAGCAAUGCCGCGUGAGUGAGGAAGGCCUUAGGGUUGUAAAGCUCUUUCGCGCGCGACGAUGAUGACGGUAGCGCGAGAAGAAGCCCCGGCUAACUUCGUGCCAGCAGCCGCGGUAAUACGAAGGGGGCGAGCGUUGUUCGGAUUUACUGGGCGUAAAGGGCGCGUAGGCGGCCCUGUUUGUCGCGUGUGAAAGCCCCGGGCUCAACCUGGGAACGGCGCGCGAUACGGCGGGGCUAGAGAUCGGGAGAGGAGCGUGGAAUUCCCAGUGUAGAGGUGAAAUUCGUAGAUAUUGGGAAGAACACCGGUGGCGAAGGCGGCGCUCUGGACCGAGACUGACGCUGAGGCGCGAAAGCGUGGGGAGCAAACAGGAUUAGAUACCCCGGUAGU
RNAcentral lists this ribosomal RNA (440 nucleotides) under uncultured bacterium. Its description in RNAcentral is "bacterial SSU rRNA". It matches the Rfam family "Bacterial small subunit ribosomal RNA", at positions 337 to 794 of the family's 1533-position model. The record is from RNAcentral.